This 253-nucleotide ribosomal RNA is filed under the name uncultured bacterium. RNAcentral's name for it is "partial 16S ribosomal RNA". It matches the Rfam family "Bacterial small subunit ribosomal RNA", at positions 524 to 776 of the family's 1533-position model. The record is from RNAcentral.
UACAGAGGGUGCGAGCGUUGUCCGGAAUCACUGGGCGUAAAGGGCGCGUAGGUGGCGCGACAAGUCAGUGGUGAAAGUUCGACGCUCAACGUCGAAUCGGCCACUGAUACUGUUGGGCUUGAGCACUGUAGAGGCUAAUGGAAUUCCUGGUGUAGCGGUGAAAUGCGCAGAUAUCAGGAGGAACACCGGUGGCGAAGGCGGGUCUCUGGGCCGAUACUGACGCUGAGGAGCGAAAGCGUGGGGAGCAAACAGG